This 441-nucleotide ribosomal RNA is filed under the name uncultured bacterium. RNAcentral's name for it is "bacterial SSU rRNA". It matches the Rfam family "Bacterial small subunit ribosomal RNA", at positions 339 to 796 of the family's 1533-position model. The record is from RNAcentral.
CUACGGGAGGCAGCAGUCGAGAAUCUUCGGCAAUGGGGGCAACCCUGACCGAGCGACGCCGCGUGGUGGAUGAAGGCCUUCGGGUUGUAAACACCUGUUGGGGGGGAACAAUUUUGAGUGAACCCCUGAGGAAGCACGGGCUAAGUUCGUGCCAGCAGCCGCGGUAAGACGAACCGUGCAAACGUUACUCGGAAUCACUGGGCUUAAAGCGCGCGUAGGCGGCGGCGUAAGUCAGAGGUGAAAUCCCAUCGGCUCAACCGUGGAAUUGCCUCUGAUACUGCGUUGCUUGAGGGGGAACGGGGCAUCCGGAACUUCCGGUGGAGCGGUGAAAUGUGUUGAUAUCGGAAGGAACGCCGGUGGCGAAAGCGGGAUGCUGGGUCUCUUCUGACGCUGAGGUGCGAAAGCUAGGGUAGCGAACGGGAUUAGAAAACCUAGUAGUCC